Molecule: ribosomal RNA, 174 nt
Filed under: uncultured Anaerobiospirillum sp.
Lineage: Bacteria; Pseudomonadati; Pseudomonadota; Gammaproteobacteria; Aeromonadales; Succinivibrionaceae
Description: partial 16S ribosomal RNA
Rfam family: Bacterial small subunit ribosomal RNA
Source: RNAcentral
ACUCCUACGGGAGGCAGCAGUAGGGAAUAUUGCACAAUGGGGGAAACCCUGAUGCAGCCAUGCCGCGUGUGUGAAGAAGGUCUUCGGAUUGUAAAGCACUUUCAGCGGGGAGGAAAAACUGAUGUUACUUACAGAAGAAGCACCGGCUAACUCCGUGCCAGCAGCCGCGGUAAU